GAUGAACGCUGGCGGCGUGCCUAAUACAUGCAAGUCGAGCGAACAGACGAGGAGCUUGCUCCUCUGACGUUAGCGGCGGACGGGUGAGUAACACGUGGAUAACCUACCUAUAAGACUGGGAUAACUUCGGGAAACCGGAGCUAAUACCGGAUAAUAUAUUGAACCGCAUGGUUCAAUAGUGAAAGACGGUUUUGCUGUCACUUAUAGAUGGAUCCGCGCCGCAUUAGCUAGUUGGUAAGGUAACGGCUUACCAAGGCAACGAUGCGUAGCCGACCUGAGAGGGUGAUCGGCCACACUGGAACUGAGACACGGUCCAGACUCCUACGGGAGGCAGCAGUAGGGAAUCUUCCGCAAUGGGCGAAAGCCUGACGGAGCAACGCCGUGUGAGUGAUGAAGGUCUUCGGAUCGUAAAACUCUGUUAUUAGGGAAGAACAAAUGUGUAAGUAACUACGCACGUCUUGACGGUACCUAAUCAGAAAGCCACGGCUAACUACGUG
RNAcentral lists this ribosomal RNA (497 nucleotides) under uncultured bacterium. RNAcentral's name for it is "partial 16S ribosomal RNA". It matches the Rfam family "Bacterial small subunit ribosomal RNA", at positions 28 to 507 of the family's 1533-position model. The record is from RNAcentral.